CCCCUAGAUGUUCUGGGCCGCACGCGCGCUACACUGAACAGUUCAACAAGUCUUAACCUUGGCCGAUAGGUCUGGGUAAUCUUUGAACGCUGUUCGUGAUUGGGAUAGACCUUUGCAAUUAUGGGUCUUCAACGAGGAAUUCCUAGUAAACGCAAGUCAUCAGCUUGCAUUGAUUACGUCCCUGCCCUUUGUACACACCGCCCGUCGCACCUACCGAUUGAAUGGUCCGGUGAAAUCUCGGGACGGCGGCUUGGUCGCUUGCGUCCGACUGCUGAAACUUGAUUAAACCAUAUCAUUUAGAGGAAGGAAAAGUCGUAACA
This 320-nucleotide ribosomal RNA is filed under the name uncultured eukaryote. Its description in RNAcentral is "partial 18S ribosomal RNA". It matches the Rfam family "Eukaryotic small subunit ribosomal RNA", at positions 1470 to 1796 of the family's 1831-position model. The record is from RNAcentral.